CGUCUGCCAGACAAGAUUGCGCAUGGCUGCGAUGCGUACCACGGCAAAAAGUUGACCCUGCUUUGCACCCACAGCCCACCAACGAAUGUUACGUUAGAACAGAGAGCAGGCUCAUUCUUCAUCUCUAAAGGAUGGAAAACCUUUACCCAAAGUGUUGGCCUACGUUUUGGACAAUAUAUUCGCUUGAGGAUUACCUCUUCAUCAACGCUUGAUGUCCUCAUGUUUGAUAAAGAUGGAGCCAGCAAACUCCCUUUAGCUACUUCAUCCAACCAUCAGAUGAAGAGCAAGGCAAGUAAAUAUAUCCAUCAACCAUCCAAGGGUAUUGUAAUCAGAGAAGGACCUCCCAAGAAAGCAACUGUCGUUUCCAGCACCUCAACUGAAGGUCCUACUUUACCACUUAACAUACUAUUAUUUCAUGGAGCUGUGCUUUUGCGCAAAAAAAAUGUCCAGCCCACAACUGAUCUAAAAAAGUACAUCGAAGCUAUUAAGCGCUUCUAUGCUGUGACCAUCAACAGCACAUUCAUCAAGCAAGAUAGAGUUGUAAGCUCUUGCAACAUUCAUGAUAAACUAACAUACCGUGCAAUUACAGUACUUUACAAAGGAAUUUUCACAGAACUACAUAAAACCGCUAAUGGAAGGAGGUAUUUCAACCAGCAUGAUCCUCCACGUUUCAACAUAUGGCCGUUGCAACUCGAAGAAAGGGUGGACAAAGUUCGCAGCACAGAUGACAUAGCUCUCGGAUCAGUUUGCAUCUUCCAUUUCUACAUGACAACCUGCCUGGAGGUUACUAUUGAUGUCCUGUGA
This 804-nucleotide long non-coding RNA is filed under the name Oryza sativa Indica Group (long-grained rice). RNAcentral's name for it is "lncRNA OsZS97_01G018740". The record is from RNAcentral. Lineage: Eukaryota; Viridiplantae; Streptophyta; Magnoliopsida; Poales; Poaceae.